Molecule: long non-coding RNA, 700 nt
Organism: Vigna unguiculata (cowpea)
Lineage: Eukaryota; Viridiplantae; Streptophyta; Magnoliopsida; Fabales; Fabaceae
Source: RefSeq, a predicted model, not a curated record
UCCACUGUACCUUUUUCUAUCUAAUCCUUUACUACCCCAACUAAUACACUGAAAAUUUGUGGUCUCACAACAAUAUUUGAUCUUUUUCAAGGGUCCUCAACCACCUUUGGAGAACAAUAUGCAACAGCCUCUGCAACGGUGAGGAAGAUCUUGUCCUCUCCUAUUGUGUUUGCAAAAUUGGAUGCGUAAAGCUUGUCUGUCACUACUGGACCAGGAUUUGCCAGAACAAGCUUGCAUAAGAGGAAGAACAACUUGCGGAAGUCAUCGAACCAACAACAUUCAUUGCUCCUAGUGCAACCAUUUCUUUGUUUCCAUCCAGUUGAUAGUCCUUCAUAGAUGCAAAUGUUCUUCCAAUUGCCGAGGCUUCCUGGCCAUCGAAAUGUAAUGGUUUAAUUAGAACUACAGGAGUAAAAAGGACAACUCUUCAAGAGAGGUAUUGGUGUCAAAGUUACUCACAGUCAAUGCUAUCAAGCCUGCCACGAUGCCAAUUUUAAAACCUUUUCCAAGAUUUUCUCCUGUUAAAUAAAGAUCUUUAACAGAUGAUGGAUUGAUUCCUUUUUCUAUUUUUCUCACCUUCACAUAUCAAUGGACAAAAACUUCAGUUUUGAUGUAACUAAUAUUAUGACACUCUUGCCAUCAGUUGUUCCUAAAAUACGUUAUCAGUCUUUUGAUGAGAAUGAACAUAUACUUACAAUUUCUA